This 300-nucleotide ribosomal RNA is filed under the name uncultured archaeon. RNAcentral describes it as "bacterial SSU rRNA". It matches the Rfam family "Bacterial small subunit ribosomal RNA", at positions 496 to 795 of the family's 1533-position model. The record is from RNAcentral.
GCUAACGACGGGACAGCAGCCGGGGGAAGACGGAGGGGGCAAGCGGUGGCCGGAUUUAGUGGGCGUAAAGAGCGUGUAGGCGGCCUGGAAGGUCAGCUGUGAAAACUCGAGGCUCAACCUCGAGACGUCGGUUGAAACCACCUGGCUAGAGUCCGGAAGAGGAGUGUGGAAUUCCCGGUGUAGCGGUGAAAUGCGCAGAUAUCGGGAAGAACACCCGUGGCGAAGGCGGCACUCUGGGACGGUACUGACGCUGAGACGCGAAAGCGUGGGGAGCGAACAGGAUUAGAUACCCUUGUAGUC